Molecule: long non-coding RNA, 596 nt
Filed under: Monodelphis domestica (gray short-tailed opossum)
Lineage: Eukaryota; Metazoa; Chordata; Mammalia; Didelphimorphia; Didelphidae
Description: lncRNA (ENSMODG00000045191.1)
Source: RNAcentral
AAUUUAUUCUCUGGUAUCUCAACUUCUCCUUCAGCUCCCCACACAGAAGAUGUCACCCCUCAAAAACGAUACAAAUAGGUGGACAUUCACAAGUUAUACUUCAAACAGUAUUUCUGUUGCUGUACGUAAUGUUCUCUUGGUUCUACUCAUUUCACUCUUCAGAACUUCAUGUGCAGUUUCACAGAAUCACAAAAUUUCACAGCUUGACGGGACCUCAGAGAACCUAUAAUCCAGUCUAUCACAGUGUGGGAAUUCCGUCUCUCACAUUUCAGCCAAGGAUUAUCAGCUUGAACACCUCCAGUGACAGGAAACUCAUUAUAUUUCAGGUAAACCAUUUCAGCUAAGUGGCCUGGUAGAAAAGGUAAAGGAAGAUCUCAUUUCAAGUCCAGCCUCAGAUUCUUACUAGCUCUGUGGUCCUGGGCUAGUCAUUUAGUUGUUUGCCUCAGUUUCCUCAUCUGUAAAAUUAGUUGGAGAAGGAAAUUGUAAACUACUCCAAUUGCCAAGAACACCCUAAAUUGGAAUCAGAAAGGGUCAGAUGUGAUUAAAACAACUUGAACAACAAUAAACUCUCUAAGUUGGUUUAGGCUAGUAAUGGU